Molecule: ribosomal RNA, 658 nt
Filed under: Pseudetroplus maculatus (orange chromide)
Lineage: Eukaryota; Metazoa; Chordata; Actinopteri; Cichliformes; Cichlidae
Description: partial large subunit ribosomal RNA
Rfam family: Bacterial large subunit ribosomal RNA
Source: RNAcentral
AAACCAUAAACCAGCAACUUUCACUAACGGAUCUCGCCUGACCAGAAACCUGAGUUUAUUGGCCGCGGUAUUUUGACCGUGCAAAGGUAGCGCAAUCACUUGUCUUUUAAAUGAAGACCUGUAUGAAUGGCAUAACGAGGGCUUAACUGUCUCCCUUUUCCAGUCAAUGAAAUUGAUCUCCCCGUGCAGAAGCGGGGAUUAAAACAUCUAGACGAGAAGACCCUAUGGAGCUUUAGACAAAGAGCAGACCAUGUUAAACACACCUAAAUAAAGGACAAAACCAAUUGGCCCCUGCCCUUAUGUCUUUGGUUGGGGCGACCGCGGGGAAACAAAAAACCCCCAUGUGGACUGAAGACAUUCCUCUUCACAACCAAGAGCCACAGCUCUAGCAACAGAACAUCUGACCAACAAGAUCCGGCACUAAGCCGAUCAACGGACCGAGUUACCCUAGGGAAUAACAGCCGCAUCCUCCUUUUAGAGCCCCCAUCGACAGGAAGGUUUACGACCUCGAUGUUGGGAUCAAGAACAUCCCUAAUGGUGCAGCCGCUAUUAAGGGGUCCGUUUGUUCAACGAAUAAAGUUCCUACGUGAUCUGAGUUCCAACCCGGAACCUCUCCUGUUUUUCAAAACAUAGUCCGGAUCUUGUUUCAAACGGUGUG